RNAcentral lists this ribosomal RNA (484 nucleotides) under uncultured bacterium. RNAcentral describes it as "partial 16S ribosomal RNA". It matches the Rfam family "Bacterial small subunit ribosomal RNA", at positions 29 to 507 of the family's 1533-position model. The record is from RNAcentral.
AUUGAACGCUGGCGGCAUGCCUUACACAUGCAAGUCGAACGGCAGCGCGGGCUUCGGCCUGGCGUCGAGUGGCGAACGGGUGAGUAAUGCAUCGGAACCUGCCCGGUAGUGGGGGAUAGCGCGGCGAAAGCCGGACUAAUACCGCAUACGACCUGAGGGUGAAAGCGGGGGAUCGAAAGGCCUCGCGCUAUUGGAUCGGCCGAGGUCGGAUUAGCUAGUUGGUGGGGUAAAGGCUUACCAAGGCGACGAUCCGUAGCUGGUCUGAGAGGACGACCAGCCACACUGGAACUGAGACACGGCCCAGACUCCUACGGGAGGCAGCAGUGGGGAAUUUUGGACAAUGGGGGAAAGCCUGAUCCAGCCAUGCCGCGUGCGGGAAGAAGGCCUUCGGGUUGUAAACCGCUUUUGUUCGGGAAGAAAUGCACUAGGCUAAUACCUCGGGGGGAUGACGUUACCGGAAGAAUAAGCACCGGCUAACUACGUG